UCUCCACCAGGGCAGCAAUCUUGGUCUGUUUUGGUGCAUGGAUGUGUCCUGAUGUCCCUGGCAUGGGCAGGGAGGCAGCAGGAAGCAGAUCCCUGCAAGAGUGGCACCUGGGAGCAAAAACUGCAGGGAAGGGAAGUCGGGGGUUUGGACGCCGGCUUGGUCUCCGGGACCCGGGGGAGCCAAGGCUGCGUUUGUGAAGCACACGCUCUGGGCAGACAGGCUGCAGGCUCAGUCCGCGCCAGAUGUGGAAUACCUUCCAGCUGAGAGUAGCUUCUGGCAGCGGAGAUGUUUGUGGAUCCCGAUGCCUGGUGGUAGGCAGGGACGGGCUUCAGUUCCCUGACCCAGGUCUGCCUCAAAAUAACCCGGCAGCGUUUUCCAGUCAUUGCGUCUCUCCGCUUGCAGUCUACACGCACCAAAAUCAGAAUCCCUUGAGAGGCAGACAGUGGAGAGAUUAAAUCCAGACUCCCCCAGAUACUGACCAGAUGACCUUGGGCGAGUUACUUAAUCUUCCCGAGUGUUUACUGCAACCGUGGAGAUCACAAUUACUUCAUAGUAUUGUCACGAGGAUUCCAUGAGCUCAUUGGGUCCCAGCUCUCUAUCGGAUUCGAGUCUCUGUAGGAGAUUCCCCCGACUAUCACCUACACUCCUGUGACUUUAGGAAAAAAAUUCUGCCUCUGGGACAAAGGUGUCGGGAUAAACUAAGACAAAAAUACAUUCAAGGAGAAAACAGAGGAAGUCAUUCUACUUGAAUGGCAGAAUCGAAACUGCUUCCUCCUCAAACAGAGAAAAUCCUGAAGUUUGAAGGCAGAAGAUACCCAUUCCUCCGGCAUUAGCACUGUUACAUCCAGCUUCAGAAUAUAAACCCAGACGAGGUCUCAAAUGACUCAUUACUGGAAUAAAUGUUUCUCAUGUUAAAGGUAUGCAAAUAGAGCUUAAUCGGUGAAGGAAGACUCUGCAAUUCAAUAAAUAAGGUGGAGAAUGUUACUGUGGUUACUGGGGACUCUAUUUGCAUACAGGCUUAUCUUGUUUUUAAAGCAGUAAGGAAAAGAAAGGAGGGAGAGGAAAAUCCCAACUUUCACCACAUGUUCUCAAAAUACAGUCUUAUAAUAAGGCAACCCCAGUUCAGGCCCUGUUCACAAGCCAAAAAAAAAAUGCUUAGUGCGGAAGAAUCCAAAACACAUUAGAAUCAUUUUCUAGACUAUAGAAAGCAAACGAGGCACUAGCCUCAGGUCAUCUUACUGAGAAAAUUACACAAUCAGACUUUUUGUCACUCACGUCUGGUGGGUUAGACCAGGACAGAUUGGGUGACUCCUCUGGUUUCAGGAGUCUGCCCUGCUCAGGCUGUGGGCUAAUGGCUACGCUAGUUCUGCAAGCCAGACAGACAGUCACACUGAAAUAGAAUAAAGACAAAAAGGAAGGAGCCCCCAAGUAGAUUCUCAUGCUGUCUAUCAAAUCCCAAAUCUUGCCACAUUUAACACUGUGAAUUAAAGCCAGAAUCACUUGUCCUCGUUUUGCAAGAAAAGCUCAUAUUAUACAAGUGCGUAAGCACAUAUUAGCGUUUUGUGCUCCCCAAGAAACUGUGCUUUCCUGGCAUCGCUCAUCCAUGCGUGGUGGAAAUAGUUCAAGGAAAUAGAUUGGGCAAAGUCCAUACUGACUCAGGAAGAGAAAGGAUUUAAAGCUUCAGAAAAUGUCUGGAGUUCCCUUGUGGCUCAUCAGGUUAAGGAUCCAGUGUUGUCGCUGCUGUGGCAUGGGUUCGAUCCCUGGCCCCGAAACUUCCACAAGCACAGGUGUAGCCAAAAAAUACAUAAAUACGUAAAGCUUCAGAAAAUGUCUCAAUUACUCCUGUGGUGGGGAGGGAGCAGGGAAAGCGCAUCACAGGCUGAUACAGAUGCACUGGUGCAAGGCGUGUGGUCCCCACGGCAGAGAGCAUCUCCCCCUUUGGUGGUUUUUUUUUUUUUUUUC
Sus scrofa (pig) is the source of this 1962-nucleotide long non-coding RNA. RefSeq lists it as uncharacterized. Lineage: Eukaryota; Metazoa; Chordata; Mammalia; Artiodactyla; Suidae. The record is from RefSeq and is a predicted model, not a curated record.